Molecule: ribosomal RNA, 705 nt
Filed under: uncultured soil bacterium
Lineage: Bacteria
Description: bacterial SSU rRNA
Rfam family: Bacterial small subunit ribosomal RNA
Source: RNAcentral
AGAGUUUGAUCCUGGCUCAGAUUGAACGCUAGCGGGAUGCCUUACACAUGCAAGUCGAACGGCAGCACGGACUUCGGUCUGGUGGCGAGUGGCGAACGGGUGAGUAAUGUAUCGGAACGUGCCCAGUAGCGGGGGAUAACUACGCGAAAGCGUAGCUAAUACCGCAUACGCCCUACGGGGGAAAGCAGGGGAUCGCAAGACCUUGCACUAUUGGAGCGGCCGAUAUCGGAUUAGCUAGUUGGUGGGGUAACGGCUCACCAAGGCGACGAUCCGUAGCUGGUUUGAGAGGACGACCAGCCACACUGGGACUGAGACACGGCCCAGACUCCUACGGGAGGCAGCAGUGGGGAAUUUUGGACAAUGGGGGAAACCCUGAUCCAGCCAUCCCGCGUGUGCGAUGAAGGCCUUCGGGUUGUAAAGCACUUUUGGCAGGAAAGAAACGUCGUGGGUUAAUACCCCGCGAAACUGACGGUACCUGCAGAAUAAGCACCGGCUAACUACGUGCCAGCAGCCGCGGUAAUACGUAGGGUGCAAGCGUUAAUCGGAAUUACUGGGCGUAAAGCGUGCGCAGGCGGUUCGGAAAGAAAGAUGUGAAAUCCCAGAGCUUAACUUUGGAACUGCAUUUUUAACUACCGAGCUAGAGUGUGUCAGAGGGAGGUGGAAUUCCGCGUGUAGCAGUGAAAUGCGUAGAUAUGCGGAGGAACA